Long non-coding RNA from Mus musculus (house mouse), 556 nucleotides. RefSeq annotates it as predicted gene, 41670. The transcript is spliced from 3 exons. The record is from RefSeq and is a predicted model, not a curated record. NCBI's taxonomy places the organism in Eukaryota, Metazoa, Chordata, Mammalia, Rodentia, Muridae.
UGGUCAGCAGUGGCUGGGAGAAGGAAGAAGGCCCAGAAAGUCUGAGUUGAGUUUAUGAAAGUUUUCCACUAAAGUCAGCAACAGCUUAAAUUCAAACCAGGCCCAAGCCGUUCAGUCUCCAUAUGAGUUGUUCAUCAAAGGACCAAAGAGAAGAAAUCUGAGCCUGGAGCAGAGGCUGGCUUAAAGGCUUCCAAGUGAUUCCUUCUGGUUUACCAUGACAUUUGCCAUUAAAACCAAGAUGUGAACGGAGGUCAGAUAUAUAAUCUCAGCCCUUGUGUGGUAAGAAUGGGAAGGACAAGAGAUCAAGGCCAUCCUCAACUAGUUCGUGACUUUCUCCUCUCCAGAGCCAGUCAUCUCAUGGCAAGAAAGCUCCAGUCCUGUUAGGACAACACUAGACAUUAGCAAGAAGAAAGAAAGACACAUUAAAGAAGUGCCACUCCAGGUUCUGCAGGUGAGGGUCACACCUCUGCCACUGCUGAUGUGACUUUCUAAGGAAAACCUCACCGACUUUAUGUGAAGUUUCUUGAUCCUCUUAGACUUGAGCUUUCUACAAAGA